GAUUCUUUCAAACUUCUAAGUCUGCUGUAUGUAAUCUGUCUUGUCUUAUAGGCUGCCAUUUGAAUUUCUCUUGGCUUUAUUAAGAAGUAAUGGGGAGCCUGUGUACCCCUUAAUAGAUUCCCCUGGUAGUGGCUCUAACACAACUGUUGUAUAAUUUCACAACAAAGACAUCACCAUUAUAAAGAGCACAGUGCAAUAACAUCAGAAAUCAAAAGCAAGGAAAUCUAUGUAACUGUACAAAUGUAAUGGAGUCUAAACAACAACAACAAAAACAACAAAAAGAGACUUGGAAAAAAGCUGUAUCCCAAAGGUUUUGAUCCAUGGCUGGCCUAUAAGACAGAAAGAGCCAGGACAACCCAACCAGAAGAGCCACCACCAAAUUCACGAGGAUCCACGGCCCAAGAAUCCGUUCCUCGACUUCCGCUGCCCUGGAGAAGAGAAGCAAGCGCUCAGUAGAAAUGCCUUCAUUCUUGUUCACAGGUCCAGAUGGAACUACUUCAUAAACUUUUAAAAAGUAGUCCUCUCCCAGAGCAACACCAAGUAUGAGGAUGGCUAAGUGGAAUAUCAUCUAAAAAACAGAAAGAACAAUAAGAAAAAUGGCAGAGAAUCAGCUGAACAGAACUUCUAGUAAGGAAGACUUUCCCUCUCUUCUCUGGAGCCAACCAACAUUCACAUACGAGGGGAAUGAAAGGUGGAAGGGCCCGUGGAGGAUGCUGUAGGAGUAAGGGAAAGACAAAAACAAAAACAAAAAAAAUUCAUAAACAAAAGCCGGUGCAUCUUACCUUCAUUCAUCUCAAGUACCACAAAGCUACACAUCCCAAAACCUGAUGUUCAGAUGUAAGAUGAAUAAAAUGGAUCAGAGAUUCUCUUCAAA
Molecule: long non-coding RNA, 874 nt
Organism: Peromyscus eremicus (cactus mouse)
Lineage: Eukaryota; Metazoa; Chordata; Mammalia; Rodentia; Cricetidae
Exons: 5
Source: RefSeq, a predicted model, not a curated record